GUCCACGCCCUAAACGAUGUCAACUAGGUUGUUGGUAGGGUUAAACCUAUUAGUAACGUAGCUAACGCGAGAAGUUGACCGCCUGGGGAGUACGGUCGCAAGAUUAAAACUCAAAGGAAUUGACGGGGACCCGCACAAGCGGUGGAUGAUGUGGAUUAAUUCGAUGCAACGCGAAAACCUUACCUACCCUUGACAUGUCAGAAAUCCCGAAGAGAUUUGGGAGUGCCGCAAGGAAUCUGAACACAGGUGCUGCAUGGCUGUCGU
Molecule: ribosomal RNA, 264 nt
Filed under: uncultured bacterium
Lineage: Bacteria
Description: partial 16S ribosomal RNA
Rfam family: Bacterial small subunit ribosomal RNA
Source: RNAcentral